RNAcentral lists this ribosomal RNA (300 nucleotides) under uncultured Thermoplasma sp. RNAcentral describes it as "bacterial SSU rRNA". The stretch from base 53 to 300 matches the Rfam family "Bacterial small subunit ribosomal RNA", at positions 549 to 795 of the family's 1533-position model. The record is from RNAcentral. Lineage: Archaea; Methanobacteriati; Thermoplasmatota; Thermoplasmata; Thermoplasmatales; Thermoplasmataceae.
GUAAGUCGGGAGUAGUGUCGGCGGGGAGUGGAGGGGUGCUAGGGAUGGUCGUACUCAAUGGGGGUAAAAGGCGGGUAGUAGGAUUAUUGAGGUGGGGCGGAAGGCGCGUGGCUUAAGUGAGGAAAGGCCGUGGAUAGAGGUCAGUGUCGAGGCCGGGAGAGGGGAUGGGAAGUCCGAGUGUAGAGGGUAAAUUCGUCGAUAUGCGGAAGACCACCGGUGGCGCAGGCGUCGCACUGCCCCUGUACUGACGCUGAGGUGCGAGAGCUUGUGGAGCAAACAGGAUUAGAUACCCCGGUAGUC